Puntigrus tetrazona (Sumatra barb) is the source of this 245-nucleotide long non-coding RNA. RefSeq lists it as uncharacterized. The record is from RefSeq and is a predicted model, not a curated record. The transcript has 3 exons. NCBI's taxonomy places the organism in Eukaryota, Metazoa, Chordata, Actinopteri, Cypriniformes, Cyprinidae.
UUCAAAAUAGAUCACUGCAUUGCAGACACUGAAGUGAAAACGUGCUACUCCUCACGUAAGGUCCCGGGGAGCCCUCUCGUCGAGUGAGUGAUGCUCAAAGAUCCUUUCAAGAGGGCUGAGAAAUCACGAUAGCAGAGAUGCUAGUGCAUGCAGCUGCACAGCAGUUCAAAAGGUGCAACAUCGCUGCUCUUUUGUUCCUCUGCAAGCAUCAAAGCAGCUCUCACACCUGCCCAACAAAGCAAGAG